This 664-nucleotide ribosomal RNA is filed under the name uncultured Cortinarius. Its description in RNAcentral is "eukaryotic LSU rRNA". The stretch from base 305 to 458 matches the Rfam family "5.8S ribosomal RNA". The record is from RNAcentral. Lineage: Eukaryota; Fungi; Basidiomycota; Agaricomycetes; Agaricales; Cortinariaceae.
CUUGGUCAUUUAGAGGAAGUAAAAGUCGUAACAAGGUUUCCGUAGGUGAACCUGCGGAAGGAUCAUUAUUGAAAUAAACCUGAUGAGUUGUUGCUGGUUCUCUAAAGAGCAUUGUGCACGCUUGUCAUCUUUAUGUCUCCACCUGUGCACAUUUUGUAGACCUGAAUCACUCUCUGAAAUGCUAACCAGUGUUUUAGGUUGGAGGAAUCUGACUUUGUUGUCUUUCCUUGCAUUUCUAGGUCUAUGUCCUUUUUCAUAUAAUCUUAUUGUGAUAUAAUGGGCCAUAUAUAAUAUAAACCUAUACAACUUUCAGCAACGGAUCUCUUGGCUCUCGCAUCGAUGAAGAACGCAGCGAAAUGCGAUAAGUAAUGUGAAUUACAGAAUUCAGUGAAUCAUCGAAUCUUUGAACGCACAUUGCGCCCCCUGGUAUUCCGGGGGGCAUGCCUGUUCGAGCGUCAUUUAUACCAAUCUAGCCUGGCUAGGUGUUGGGCUUCGCCGCUUGGCGGGCCUUAAAACUAGUGGCGGUGCUCUUAGGCUCUACGCGUAGUAAUUUUCUCGCUAUAGAGUCCUGGGAGAUGCUUGCCAGCAACCCCAAAUUUUUCUAGGUUGACCUCGGAUCAGGUAGGGAUACCCGCUGAACUUAAGCAUAUCAAUAAGCGGAGGA